Small nucleolar RNA from Plectropomus leopardus (leopard coralgrouper), 133 nucleotides. RefSeq annotates it as small nucleolar RNA SNORA17. The record is from RefSeq and is a predicted model, not a curated record. Lineage: Eukaryota; Metazoa; Chordata; Actinopteri; Perciformes; Serranidae.
UUUGCCCUUGAGACGCUACAGUGGCUGCAGUGUCGCUGUUGUGCUAUAAGUGGGCAGACAGUAAUUGACUGGCUCACGAUUACUCAAUUUCCACUGUUCUGUGGGCUUUGGGAAUGGAACCGGGCCAGAUAUU